AACCAUAGAAACCUGCGGAGUACCUGCGGAGGGAUCAUUACAGAGUUGCAAAACUCCCUAAACCAUUGUGAACGUUACCUAAACCGUUGCUUCGGCGGGCGGCCCGGGUCCCUCCCGGCGCCCAUCGGCCCUCGCGGGCGCCCGCCGGAGGUAAACCAAACUAUUGCAUUGUAUGGCCUCUCUGAGUCUUCUGUACUGAAUAAGUCAAAACUUUCAACAAUGGAUCUCAGAUCGGAAGAG
RNAcentral lists this unclassified non-coding RNA (240 nucleotides) under soil metagenome. RNAcentral's name for it is "partial contains 5.8S ribosomal RNA, internal transcribed spacer 2, and large subunit ribosomal RNA". The record is from RNAcentral.